RNAcentral lists this ribosomal RNA (459 nucleotides) under Stenotrophomonas sp. RNAcentral's name for it is "bacterial SSU rRNA". It matches the Rfam family "Bacterial small subunit ribosomal RNA", at positions 55 to 503 of the family's 1533-position model. Lineage: Bacteria; Pseudomonadati; Pseudomonadota; Gammaproteobacteria; Lysobacterales; Lysobacteraceae. The record is from RNAcentral.
AUGCAGUCGACGGCAGCACAGUAAGAGCUUGCUCUUAUGGGUGGCGAGUGGCGGACGGGUGAGGAAUACAUCGGAAUCUACCUUUUCGUGGGGGAUAACGUAGGGAAACUUACGCUAAUACCGCAUACGACCUUCGGGUGAAAGCAGGGGACCUUCGGGCCUUGCGCGGAUAGAUGAGCCGAUGUCGGAUUAGCUAGUUGGCGGGGUAAAGGCCCACCAAGGCGACGAUCCGUAGCUGGUCUGAGAGGAUGAUCAGCCACACUGGAACUGAGACACGGUCCAGACUCCUACGGGAGGCAGCAGUGGGGAAUAUUGGACAAUGGGCGCAAGCCUGAUCCAGCCAUACCGCGUGGGUGAAGAAGGCCUUCGGGUUGUAAAGCCCUUUUGUUGGGAAAGAAAAGCAAUCGAUUAAUACCCGGUUGUUCUGACGGUACCCAAAGAAUAAGCACCGGCUAACUU